AGAGUUUGAUCCUGGCUCAGAUUGAACGCUGGCGGCAGGCCUAACACAUGCAAGUCGAGCGGCAGCGGGAAAGUAGCUUGCUACUUUUGCCGGCGAGCGGCGGACGGGUGAGUAAUGCCUGGGGAUCUGCCCAAUCGAGGGGGAUAACUACUGGAAACGGUAGCUAAUACCGCAUACGCCCUACGGGGGAAAGCAGGGGACCUUCGGGCCUUGCGCGAUUGGAUGAACCCAGGUGGGAUUAGCUAGUUGGUGAGGUAAUGGCUCACCAAGGCGACGAUCCCUAGCUGGUCUGAGAGGAUGAUCAGCCACACUGGAACUGAGACACGGUCCAGACUCCUACGGGAGGCAGCAGUGGGGAAUAUUGCACAAUGGGGGAAACCCUGAUGCAGCCAUGCCGCGUGUGUGAAGAAGGCCUUCGGGUUGUAAAGCACUUUCAGCGAGGAGGAAAGGUGGUUGGCUAAUACCCAAUCGCUGUGACGUACUCGCAGAAGA
This 492-nucleotide ribosomal RNA is filed under the name Aeromonas sp. AKB-2008-4287D. RNAcentral describes it as "bacterial SSU rRNA". It matches the Rfam family "Bacterial small subunit ribosomal RNA", at positions 8 to 488 of the family's 1533-position model. The record is from RNAcentral. Lineage: Bacteria; Pseudomonadati; Pseudomonadota; Gammaproteobacteria; Aeromonadales; Aeromonadaceae. RNAcentral also lists the same sequence under 2 other names.